CAUUGAUGAUCAUCGCCUCAGCAUGGGCGGG
This 31-nucleotide small RNA is filed under the name Bombyx mori (domestic silkworm). Its description in RNAcentral is "ovarian small RNA-13444". Lineage: Eukaryota; Metazoa; Arthropoda; Insecta; Lepidoptera; Bombycidae. The record is from RNAcentral.